Molecule: long non-coding RNA, 774 nt
Filed under: Homo sapiens (human)
Lineage: Eukaryota; Metazoa; Chordata; Mammalia; Primates; Hominidae
Description: HSALNT0024263
Source: RNAcentral
GGACAUUACAGGGUGCGCAGAGCUGAGGGCCGUGCAGGGAAGGGGCAGAGCAGUUCUAGCUGGACGAAAGCUUAGGUCUUGGUCAGGGAAAUGAGGUGCUCCCAUGGAUUGUCCAGGAGUUACCCUGUCCUGGGGCUUUGGUGAUGGUCCUCCUCACCUCAACAGUGAUGGACAAGGGCUCCUUUUGCUUUGAAGUGAUGCCCACGUGCUUACUGCACAAGGAGGGCAGGGAAGAGCCAGGAAGGGAGGAACCGCCACGCCAGCGGGGACAACGUGACGACACGGAACAAAGGGACAUGCCGUUGGAAUCCUAGGAAGAAGUUUCUUAAGUGACAUCUAAAUAGGCUGCAAAUGGCCUUUUCGAGGGAACUCCCAUCCCUGUGAUAAUCUAAACCAGAAUCGGAUGAGAUGGGGUGGACCGCAUCUCGGGAGGAGCACAUGGGUGUGAGGGAGGAGGGACGUGGCAACCUCAUGCUCCCUUCUCUCUGUAAUCACUCUGUCAACCCACGAUUCUGGGAGGGGAGUAUGAAAUGUGUGGUUUGUCUAUUGCAUGAAGAUAUUUGGAUCCCCCAAAUCUAGGUGUGUCUGGAAGAAAGCUGCCCUCUCCCAGAGGAAAGCUGGGGGUUAAAUCCAUAACUGUCAGUGUGUCUGGCAACAAAAUAAAAGGAAACCACAUUCUCCAUGAAUGAAGGGAGAAGCAGGAAGGAGGUAGUUUUUUCUUUUUUAAAAACAUGAAUAAGAUCCUCCAAUAUGUUUGAGAUUAUUGAGCAAAUU